CCUACGGGUGUCAGCAGUGCGGAAUAUUGGUCAAUGGCCGGAAGGCUGAACCAGCCAAGCCGCGUGCAGGACGAAGGUGCCAAGCAUUGUAACCUUCUUUUGUCAAGGGACAAAAUCCGGCUCUCGAGCCUGACCGAGGGUACUUUACGAACAAGCAUCGGCUAACUCCGUGCCAGCAGCCGCGGUACUACAGGGGAUUCGAGCUUUAUCCGGAUUUAUUUGGUUUGAAGGGUGCGUCGGCGUGCUGUUAAGUCCGCGGUAAAAGCACGGGGUUAAACCCCGGCGAGCGGUUGAAACUGGUGGGCUGGAGAUGGCGAGAGGUAGGCGGAAUGCGCAGUGUAGCGGUGAAAUGCGUAGAUAUCACGAAGAACUCCGAUUGCGAAGGCAGCUCACUGGACUGCAACUGACACUGAUGCGCGAAAGUGUGGGUAUCAAACAGGAUUAGAUACCCGAGUAGUC
RNAcentral lists this ribosomal RNA (459 nucleotides) under uncultured bacterium. RNAcentral describes it as "partial 16S ribosomal RNA". It matches the Rfam family "Bacterial small subunit ribosomal RNA", at positions 338 to 795 of the family's 1533-position model. The record is from RNAcentral.